CUGAGGACGAUUCACCACCGCUUAUAUAUGACGAGAUCCUUUGAUCUCAGGAGUGGGUGUGUGUUAUAGAUCACAGGAAGGUGCCCACCAGAUCGCAGGAGGGUGUUCACCAGAUCACAGGAUCACAGGAGUGUGUUCACCAGAUCACAGGAUCACAGGAGUGUGUUCACCAGAUCACAGGAGUGUGUUCACCAGAUCACAGGAUCACAGGAGUGUGUUCACCAGAUCACAGGAGUGUGUUCACCAGAUCACAGUAGGGUGUUCACCAGAUCACCGGUGGGUGUUCACCAGAUCACAGGAUCACAGGAGUGUGUUCACCAGAUCACAGGAGUGUGUACACCAGAUCACAGGUUGGAAGCAGCAGCAGUCGUCUGUUGUUUUUUAAGGGCUGCAGAUGAUCGUUUUAUUGAUCGACUGAUCAGGGCCUCCCUUCAGCCUGGAUGAUCAAAAUCUAUGAUCGACGAGCACCUCGCUCAGGCCAAACGGGGGAGUAUUAAUAAAUGUGUGGGCAGGAAGAAGAAAACCCAAACACCCCUCGGUCGUGGCGAGUCGAUGUGUCACUCACCGAGUUUCAUGAGCAGCGCCAGGAGGAUCCACAGGGAGAUCUCGAAGGGCUGCCGGACGUGCUCGUAGUUGAAGGAGAGGACGGGGAAAGCCUUCUUGUGGCAGCUCGUCCAGAAGCUGAGCCACAGAUCAGCUGACAUCUGCUGGAGCGGAGGAGCACGACAACCACCAGGGCCAGGCAGCCCAUGACUCAGUGCCUUCACUUCCCCAGGGGCAGACAAAGUAUUCAGAUCCUGUACGCAUGGUUUGAAGUCGUCGGGUCCUCGGGGGACGUGAUCGGCGCCCGGCAGGGAUCCAGAGGAUGCGGCCGCGCUCCCCCUCAGCCUCACCGACGACCUCGUGAAGCCCCUCGGCCGCCUGAACAAACAGUGGCCGCCUGUCGCACCAGAGAAGAGGCUCCUGUGUGUCCCUGCUCUUUUGUGAAGCCCCAGUCUGAUGGGCUCAACACACACACACACACACACACACACACACACGAGGCUGCAUGAAAAGCCCGGCCUGUCAGAGGCGAUCUGGUCACCCAGCCUGUACAGAGGGUGAGAGUGGGAGAGGCGGCUCGGUGCAGCAUGUUGCACGCUCCAAGGAACAUUUGUGUUAAUGCGCUGCAGUGACUUAUGUAACCCCAACAAAAAACACAAAAGAGAGGAAUCACUUUUUAACAACUGUAUGGAAAUAAACCUUCCGAGGGGCCGUGACCGACAAAUACGACGACGUGGAGCCCUCGGACGAGAGCGUCAACCUCCACUGGACAUAAUGAGACUGAAUAUUGUUUUGAUAUUGAAAGUAAUUCAGAGUGGCUGUUACAUAAAGCCUCUGUUUCCAUGAUCGAUU
Molecule: long non-coding RNA, 1395 nt
Organism: Scophthalmus maximus (turbot)
Lineage: Eukaryota; Metazoa; Chordata; Actinopteri; Pleuronectiformes; Scophthalmidae
Exons: 5
Source: RefSeq, a predicted model, not a curated record